AGAGUUUGAUCAUGGCUCAGAGCGAACGCUGGCGGCAGGCUUAACACAUGCAAGUCGAGCGGGUGUAGCAAUACAUCAGCGGCAGACGGGUGAGUAACGCGUGGGAACGUACCUUUUGGUUCGGAACAACCCAGGGAAACUUGGACUAAUACCGGAUAAGCCCUUACGGGGAAAGAUUUAUCGCCUUGGGAGCAGCGAUCGUCCUAUCAGGUAGUUGGCGGGGUAAAGGCCCACCAAGCCGAAGACGGGUAGCGGGUGUGAGAGCACGGCCCGCGACAUCGAGACUGAGACACUGCUCGGACUCCUACGGGAGGCUGCAGUAACGAAUAUUCCGCAAUGCGCGAAAGCGUGACGGAGCAAUGCCGCGUGCAGGAUGAAGCGGUUUCGCCGUGUAAACUGCUGUCAGGGGCAAGAAACACUGAUCUGCCCCAGAGGAAGAGCCGGCUAACCCUGUGCCAGCAGCCGCGGUAAGACAGGGGGCUCGAGCGUUAAUCGGAAUCACUGGGCUUAAAGGGUGCGUAGGCGGGCCGGUAAGCGUCUUGUGAAAUCCCCCGGCUCAACCGGGGAACCGCGGGGCGAACUGCUGGUCUAGAGGAAGCUAGAGGCCGGUAGAACGAUUGGUGGAGCGGUGGAAUGCGUAGAUAUCAAUCGGAAUGCCGAAAGUGAAGACGCCGGCUGGAGCUUUCCUGACGCUGAGGCACGAAAGCGUGGGGAGCAAACGGGAUUAGAUACCCUAGUAGUCC
This 743-nucleotide ribosomal RNA is filed under the name uncultured bacterium. Its description in RNAcentral is "bacterial SSU rRNA". It matches the Rfam family "Bacterial small subunit ribosomal RNA", at positions 8 to 796 of the family's 1533-position model. The record is from RNAcentral.